This 468-nucleotide ribosomal RNA is filed under the name uncultured bacterium. Its description in RNAcentral is "partial 16S ribosomal RNA". It matches the Rfam family "Bacterial small subunit ribosomal RNA", at positions 28 to 507 of the family's 1533-position model. The record is from RNAcentral.
GACGAACGCUGGCGGCGUGCUUAACACAUGCAAGUCGAACGGAAAGGCCCUGCUUUUGUGGGGUGCUCGAGUGGCGAACGGGUGAGUAACACGUGAGUAACCUGCCCUUGACUUUGGGAUAACUUCAGGAAACUGGGGCUAAUACCGGAUAGGAGCUCCUGCUGCAUGGUGGGGGUUGGAAAGUUUCGGCGGUUGGGGAUGGACUCGCGGCUUAUCAGCUUGUUGGUGGGGUAGUGGCUUACCAAGGCUUUGACGGGUAGCCGGCCUGAGAGGGUGACCGGCCACAUUGGGACUGCGGUACGGCCCAGUCUCCUACGGGAGGCAACAGUGGGAAAUAUUGCACAAUGGGCGCAAGCCUGAUGCAGCAACGCCGCGUGCGGGAUGACGGCCUUCUGGUUGUAAACCGCUUUCGCCUGUGACGAAGCGUUAGUGACGGUAAUGGGUAAAGAAGCACCGGCUAACUACGUG